Molecule: RNA transcript, 2544 nt
Organism: Lagenorhynchus albirostris (white-beaked dolphin)
Lineage: Eukaryota; Metazoa; Chordata; Mammalia; Artiodactyla; Delphinidae
Gene: LRAT
Gene name: lecithin retinol acyltransferase
Exons: 9
Source: RefSeq, a predicted model, not a curated record
AAAAUUUUUUUUUCAGGUUGAUAUCUACAUUAAUGGAGAACAUGUUGAAACUUUUCAGGAAGAUCUCACUUUUACACUGGACACAUUGACUCCACCAAACUUACCCAAGAUAGAUGACCUAAAAGCGGCUCACUGACUUAUCGCUUAGAAGAUCUGGCCUAUACAAGAAGUGGGGACAAAGACAACUCUGUGAAUAUAGAUAUGAAUUGCCAGGAACAUAUGCAUUAAACUUUGUUUUGAAAAAUCGCCUUGGUGGUGGAGGCACUGCCUCACUGAGAACUGACUCACAGUGACUCCCAAAAAUUAACCCCACCGGGAAAGAAAGAAAAAUGCAAAUCAGCUUGGUGCUGCCUGCCUCUCACAAAACGUCGUGGGGAUGCGGCCAUUGAGGAGGGUCUAUAGGACUAUAAUGUGAUUCGAAAUCGUUUGUGAAAUGAACAAAAGUCACCAGCAAGCGGGACGACUGUCAGAUAGGGGGCGGGAGCGAAGGCCGGGUCUCGGAGGAUAAUGGGGAGCCGGCCUCCUCCCCGUCUGGUCUCCAUGGUCCCCUUCAUCUUCCAGGAUGAAGAACCCAAUGCUGGAGGCGGUGUCACUAGUGCUGGAGAAGCUGCUCCUUAUCUCCAACUUCAAGCUCUUCAGUUCAGGCGCCCCGGGCGAAGACAAGGCAAGGAACACUUUCUAUGAGAUCAACUCUUUUCUCCGCGGCGACGUGCUGGAGGUGCCUCGGACCCACCUGACACACUAUGGCAUCUACCUGGGCGACAACCGUGUCGCCCAUAUGAUGCCCGACAUCCUGUUGGCCCUGACUGACGACAAGGAGCUCACGCAGAAGGUGGUCUCCAACAAGCGUCUCAUCCUGGGCGUCAUUGGCAGAGUGGCCAGCAUCCGCGUGGACACAGUGGAGGACUUCGCCUACGGAGCCGACAUCCUGGUCAAUCACCUGGAUAGGUCCCUCAAGAAGAAGGCGCUGCUCAACGAAGAGGUGGCGCGGAGGGCGGAGAAGCUGCUGGGCAUGACUCCCUACAGCCUCCUGUGGAACAACUGCGAGCACUUCGUCACCUACUGCAGGUUCGGCACCGCGAUCAGCCCCCAGGCCGACAAGUUUUGUGAGAAUGUGAAGAUAAUUAUUCGUGAUCAGAGAAGUGUUCUUGCUUCGGCAGUCUUGGGAUUGGCAUCUAUAGUCUGUCUGGGUUUGGCAUCAUAUACUACCCUUCCUGCAAUUUUUAUUCCAUUCUGCUUAUGGAUGGCUGGCUAACUUCAUACCCUCGUUUCAGUGUGUGUAUUCUGUGUGUAGAUAUGUUUAUAUUUAUAGAGCACAAAUCAGUAUAAGCAUCGUUGAGAAAAAUGUGACCUGUAAUACUGCGUUCUGGAUAAAAAUGUGAUUAAGAAUCACACAAAGUGCUUACCGUGUAAGCCCAAGAACAAAGCCCUUCUGAAUCUUCCCAGGCAGUUCCAUUUCAAAGCACUGUGAAUCUUGGAAACGUGACAGCCUGUGCUGGAAUUCUCCAUUACAAGAAAAUCAGCCCCUAAGAUGAUAGCCGCAGGAGAUUAUUUGUCAAGAAUAACUUCAUUACUUGAAACAAUAUUGACAAAGUUACUGUAAACCACUCUGAGAGGAAAAUGAACAUAGGAUUGAAAUAAUUCGGGUACUUGGAGUGCGUAUGUGCCAGUUGAAUACACAGAUAUCCACAUACACUCAGACCGAUGAGAGACAAAUUGUUAGUUCUUGAUUGCUUUAUUAUCAUACCAGAGUAGUUAGUAUAGAGCAUUGGUAGAAGUGAACAUAAAAGCAUGUUCAAUCCAUUUUCUUAUGCCGUUGCGUCUGUGGUGUAACUUGCAUGUAUGUCGUCAUUGGAUAGUUUAAUUUUAAAGCACUUACUAAUGCACUGUAUAAUUUGUAAAAGCCCUGAGAUUUGUUUCAGUUGUUCCAUUUCAUUGCUAAGUCAGUAUAGUUUACAUCCUUAAAAGAAUGAUGCUUCAGCAAUAUAUAAAACCCAAACAAGUAGGAGCAAAGGAAAUAACUAUAAGAAAUCAUUUUUAAGUGUCUUAGUACCACCAGGCAUGUAAGUUGAUUACACAGAGGCUGUUUUAAUAUCAGAGUUGAGAUGUAGCAGUGUUAAAGCAAGCAUGCAAGUACUUUUACAAAAUUACCAAAUUCUAAAAAGUAAGCUACAAGCUAGACUUGCAUUUCAAGUAUUAAAAUUGCUUUAUAAACUGUCAAGAAUUACAAAAUAAUGAGUCACAUAAUGAGAGGUAUGAGGAGGGUGGGGUUAGUCACUCAAAUCAAAACAAAUUUAAGAGCAGAUUUUAGUACAUCACCACUAAUUUACCUAAAACAAAUUCAGUUGGAGUUUAAUAAUGAUUUAACUUUAAUUAUUUAAAUAUUUUGAAUAAUUGAAGCAUGAAAUGACAAACACCACAGAAUAAAGUGUUCUAUGGGCCUAUUCCAACCACUUAAAGUUAUCUUAAGUGUGUAUACAUAAAAACAACCACUAUGAGAACUCCAUUGUAUUAGUGGUUUUUCACUUACUGUAUAUUACUCAU